This is a small nuclear RNA of Balaenoptera musculus (blue whale), 126 nucleotides long. Its record names the gene U5. It matches the Rfam family "U5 spliceosomal RNA". From Rfam's summary of the family: U5 RNA is a component of both types of known spliceosome. The precise function of this molecule is unknown, though it is known that the 5' loop is required for splice site selection and p220 binding, and that both the 3' stem-loop and the Sm site are important for Sm protein binding and cap methylation. The record is from Ensembl. Lineage: Eukaryota; Metazoa; Chordata; Mammalia; Artiodactyla; Balaenopteridae.
UACUCGUGCUUCUCUUCAUAAUCAAAUGAAUAUUUUGCCUUUUACUAAAGAUUCAUGUGGGGAGGGAAAAAAAAAUUAAGAGCUAUUUCAAGACUCAAUGUUGGCAUUUAUUAGCUCAGAUAUAAU